AAUACCAGUAAGUACUAUCCGGGAGACACACGGCGGGUGCUAACGUCCGUCGUGGAGAGGGAAACAACCCAGACCGCCAGCUAAGGUCCCAAAGUAUAGCUAAGUGGGAAACGAUGUGGGAAGGCUCAGACAGCCAGGAUGUUGGCUUAGAAGCAGCCAUCAUUUAAAGAAAGCGUAAUAGCUCACUGGUCGAGUCGGCCUGCGCGGAAGAUGUAACGGGGCUAAGCUAUACACCGAAGCUGCGGCUACGUACCUUAGGGUAUGUGGGGUAGGGGAGCGUUCUGUAAGCCGUUGAAGGUGGUCUGUAAGGGCUGCUGGAGGUAUCAGAAGUGCGAAUGCUGACAUGAGUAACGAUAAAGGGAGUGAAAAACUCCCUCGCCGGAAGACCAAGGGUUCCUGUCCAACGUUAAUCGGGGCAGGGUAAGUCGACUCCUAAGGCGAGGCCGAAAGGCGUAGUCGAUGGGAAACGGGUUAAUAUUCCCGUACUUCUUACAAUUGCGAUGGGGGGACGGAGAAGGCUAGGUGGGCCUGGCGACGGUUGUCCAGGUUCAAGUAUGUAGGCGGGUGGUUUAGGUAAAUCCGGACCGCUACUAACGCUGAGAUACGAUGUCGAGCUACUACGGUAGUGAAGUCAUUGAUGCCAUGCUUCCAGGAAAAGCCUCUAAGCUUCAGAUUGUAAGGAAUCGUACCCCAAACCGACACAGGUGGUCGGGUAGAGAAUACCAAGGCGCUUGAGAGAACUCGGGUGAAGGAACUAGGCAAAAUGGUACCGUAACUUCGGGAGAAGGUACGCUCUUAUCAGUGAAGUCCCUUGCGGAUGGAGCAGACGAGAGUCGCAGAUACCAGGUGGCUGCAACUGUUUAUUAAAAACACAGCACUGUGCAAAAUCGUAAGAUGACGUAUACGGUGUGACGCCUGCCCGGUGCCGGAAGGUUAAUUGAUGGGGUUAGACUUCGGUCGAAGCUCUUGAUCGAAGCCCCGGUAAACGGCGGCCGUAACUAUAACGGUCCUAAGGUAGCGAAAUUCCUUGUCGGGUAAGUUCCGACCUGCACGAAUGGCGUAAUGAUGGCCACGCUGUCUCCACCCGAGACUCAGUGAAAUUGAAAUCGCUGUGAAGAUGCAGUGUACCCGCGGCUAGACGGAAAGACCCCGUGAACCUUUACUACAGCUUGGCACUGAACAUUGAACCUACAUGUGUAGGAUAGGUGGGAGACUAUGAAAUUGCGUCGCUAGAUGUGAUGGAGUCGUCCUUGAAAUACCACCCUUGUAGUUUUGAUGUUCUA
Molecule: ribosomal RNA, 1283 nt
Filed under: Vibrio cyclitrophicus ZF255
Lineage: Bacteria; Pseudomonadati; Pseudomonadota; Gammaproteobacteria; Vibrionales; Vibrionaceae
Description: bacterial LSU rRNA
Rfam family: Bacterial large subunit ribosomal RNA
Source: RNAcentral